GACGAACGCUGGCGGUGUGCUUAACACAUGCAAGUGGAACGACGAACCCCGGCUUGCCCUGGGGCAGAGUCGCGAACGGGUGAGUAACACGUGGGUAACGUACCCCGAAUUCCGGGACAACCCCCGGAAACGCGGGCUAAUACCGGAUGUGUUCCCCUCCCACGACGGCUGCGGGUGACAGGAGCUUUCGGCUUCGGAUCGGGUGACGCCCGCGCCCUAUUUGUUUGUUGGUGGGGUAACGGCCUACCAAGACUGCGAUAGGUAGCUGGUCUGGGAGGACGAUCAGCCACACUGGGACGGAGACACGGCCCAGACUCCUACGGGAGGCAGCAGUGGGGAAUCUUGCGCAAUGCGCGAGAGCGUGACGCAGCAACACCGCGUGGGGGAAGAAGGCCUUCGGGUUGUAAACCCCUUUCAGGAGGGACGAAGGCCGGCCGGUGAAGAGCCGUGCCGGUUGACGGUACCUCCACAAGAAGCCCCGGCUAACUACGUG
This 493-nucleotide ribosomal RNA is filed under the name uncultured bacterium. Its description in RNAcentral is "partial 16S ribosomal RNA". It matches the Rfam family "Bacterial small subunit ribosomal RNA", at positions 28 to 507 of the family's 1533-position model. The record is from RNAcentral.